This 253-nucleotide ribosomal RNA is filed under the name uncultured bacterium. RNAcentral describes it as "partial 16S ribosomal RNA". It matches the Rfam family "Bacterial small subunit ribosomal RNA", at positions 524 to 776 of the family's 1533-position model. The record is from RNAcentral.
GACGUAGGAGACGAGCGUUGUCCGGAUUUACUGGGCGUAAAGGGCGCGCAGGCGGCCCUGCGCGGCGGGCGUGAAAGCCCCCGGCUCAACCGGGGCGGGUCGUCCGCGACGGCAGGGCUGGAGGGCGGCAGAGGCUGGUGGAAUUCCCGGUGUAGUGGUGAAAUGCGUAGAGAUCGGGAGGAACACCCGUGGCGAAGGCGGCCAGCUGGGCCGGCCCUGACGCUGAGGCGCGAAGGCGCGGGGAGCGAACGGG